UGGUGCUAUUUCCAUGUCAACGGUAACUACACAGUAUUCCUCAAUAAAUGUCUUUGAACCAUCUCUCUAGACAAUUAGUGUUGUUUACGUUUUUUGUUUGGUCCCCCAGGGUCCUCCCAUGGGCAAUUCUAGUAAUGGUUCUUCAGCUGCUUAAAAGCGCCAAAAAAGUGAAAAAAAAAAAAAAACAAGAGAUAUAGUCAGCGCCAUUUUAUGGGGGAGUUGUUUGUGCUUCCAUUUUUGUCAAAGUUUCCUAUUCCUUCUGAUGCAAAUGCAUCCCAACCUAAAAUUUUAAAUGAUUAUUUUGGUGUUCUGAUGGCAUACGGUGGUCUACAAGAUUUUCUAAGGGUGCAAGAACCUGGAUAUAUAU
Molecule: long non-coding RNA, 367 nt
Organism: Carya illinoinensis
Lineage: Eukaryota; Viridiplantae; Streptophyta; Magnoliopsida; Fagales; Juglandaceae
Exons: 3
Source: RefSeq, a predicted model, not a curated record